UGGUGGAUGAGUGGCGAACGGGUGAGUAACACGUGAGUAACCUGCCCCUGAUUUCGGGAUAAGCCUGGGAAACUGGGUCUAAUACCGGAUACGACCACCUGACGCAUGUCGGGUGGUGGAAAGUUUUUCGAUCGGGGAUGGGCUCGCGGCCUAUCAGCUUGUUGGUGGGGUAAUGGCCUACCAAGGCGACGACGGGUAGCCGGCCUGAGAGGGCGACCGGCCACACUGGGACUGAGACACGGCCCAGACUCCUACGGGAGGCAGCAGUGGGGAAUAUUGCACAAUGGGGGAAACCCUGAUGCAGCGACGCAGCGUGCGGGAUGACGGCCUUCGGGUUGUAAACCGCUUUCAGCAGGGAAGAAGCGAAAGUGACGGUACCUGCAGAAGAAGUACCGGCUAACUACGUGCCAGCAGCCGCGGUAAUACGUAGGGUACGAGCGUUGUCCGGAAUUAUUGGGCGUAAAGAGCUCGUAGGUGGUUGGUCACGUCUGCUGUGGAAACGCAACGCUUAACGUUGCGCGUGCAGUGGGUACGGGCUGACUAGAGUGCAGUAGGGGAGUCUGGAAUUCCUGGUGUAGCGGUGAAAUGCGCAGAUAUCAGG
Molecule: ribosomal RNA, 601 nt
Filed under: Brevibacterium epidermidis
Lineage: Bacteria; Bacillati; Actinomycetota; Actinomycetes; Micrococcales; Brevibacteriaceae
Description: bacterial SSU rRNA
Rfam family: Bacterial small subunit ribosomal RNA
Source: RNAcentral